RNAcentral lists this ribosomal RNA (586 nucleotides) under Acidovorax temperans. RNAcentral's name for it is "bacterial SSU rRNA". It matches the Rfam family "Bacterial small subunit ribosomal RNA", at positions 1 to 579 of the family's 1533-position model. Lineage: Bacteria; Pseudomonadati; Pseudomonadota; Betaproteobacteria; Burkholderiales; Comamonadaceae. The record is from RNAcentral.
AGAUCGAACUGUAGAGUUUGAUCCUGGCUCAGAUUGAACGCUGGCGGCAUGCCUUACACAUGCAAGUCGAACGGUAACAGGUCUUCGGAUGCUGACGAGUGGCGAACGGGUGAGUAAUACAUCGGAACGUGCCCGAUCGUGGGGGAUAACGAAGCGAAAGCUUUGCUAAUACCGCAUACGAUCUACGGAUGAAAGCAGGGGACCGCAAGGCCUUGCGCGAACGGAGCGGCCGAUGGCAGAUUAGGUAGUUGGUGGGAUAAAAGCUUACCAAGCCGACGAUCUGUAGCUGGUCUGAGAGGACGACCAGCCACACUGGGACUGAGACACGGCCCAGACUCCUACGGGAGGCAGCAGUGGGGAAUUUUGGACAAUGGGCGAAAGCCUGAUCCAGCCAUGCCGCGUGCAGGAUGAAGGCCUUCGGGUUGUAAACUGCUUUUGUACGGAACGAAAAGACUCUGGUUAAUACCUGGGGUCCAUGACGGUACCGUAAGAAUAAGCACCGGCUAACUACGUGCCAGCAGCCGCGGUAAUACGUAGGGUGCAAGCGUUAAUCGGAAUUACUGGGCGUAAAGCGUGCGCAGGCGGU